AUUGAACGCUGGCGGCAGGCCUAACACAUGCAAGUCGAGCGGAUGAAGGGAGCUUGCUCCUGGAUUCAGCGGCGGACGGGUGAGUAAUGCCUAGGAAUCUGCCUGGUAGUGGGGGAUAACGUCCGGAAACGGGCGCUAAUACCGCAUACGUCCUGAGGGAGAAAGUGGGGGAUCUUCGGACCUCACGCUAUCAGAUGAGCCUAGGUCGGAUUAGCUAGUUGGUGGGGUAAAGGCCUACCAAGGCGACGAUCCGUAACUGGUCUGAGAGGAUGAUCAGUCACACUGGAACUGAGACACCGUCCAGACUCCUACGGGAGGGAGCAGUGGGGAAUGUUGGGCAAUGGGCGAAAGCCUGAUCCAGCCAUGCCGCGUGUGUGACGGAGGUCUUCGGGUUGUAAAGCCCUUUAAGUUGGGAGGAAGGGCAGUAAGUUAAUACCUUGCUGUUUUGACGUUACCGACAGAAUAAGCACCGGCUAACUUCGUG
This 484-nucleotide ribosomal RNA is filed under the name uncultured bacterium. RNAcentral describes it as "partial 16S ribosomal RNA". It matches the Rfam family "Bacterial small subunit ribosomal RNA", at positions 30 to 507 of the family's 1533-position model. The record is from RNAcentral.